Molecule: long non-coding RNA, 1736 nt
Organism: Tigriopus californicus
Lineage: Eukaryota; Metazoa; Arthropoda; Copepoda; Harpacticoida; Harpacticidae
Exons: 2
Source: RefSeq, a predicted model, not a curated record
CUCCGAAAUCGAUCCUUCUCCAAAGCCCGAUUCACAUUAGAAGACGGAAAAUUGGCACUUGGGAAUGGAGGCAAGCGGAGGAGGAGGAAGGCCGCUGCUUCAUGACCGUUUCGUGAUAACAAGCCCUCUCAUGACUUCGAAAUAUGGCUGAUGAUCAGGGAAUAUCAUUGCCAGACAUUCCUUGCCUAACUUGUGAGCUCAUGGUUGAGGGCUCUCAUGCUGUGACUAACUGGUUUUGCCCUCUUGUGGAGUUGGGACGAAUGAUCAUUGAACUGUUACAGUGAAGAUAGCCAUCUCACAACAUGACUUCAAAAAAAUGCUUUGAUUAUCAAAGCCUCCAAACCUCAGAACACUAAAAAGCGGCAUACGAAGAAAUACAAAUACCCCUUUCAAAGGGCGAGGUUAAAUACAGUCUCAAAGAUGGCCAAGGCUUAACUGGAUAUUUCAGGGAUCUGUGUAUGUGCCGUAACUCUUUCAGUACUGAAGGAACAAUACGUACAUUUCCUGAGCAUCGGGUCAAUUUUUGCUGGACAUCAUCCAUUGAAGAAUUGAAUUGAUCAUCACCAGACUCGGUGGCGGAUUUCCCAUUGCUUGUGGUGAAUGCUAUGUUUCAGUGGUUUUCAAUCCUUGGCCGCAAACAACAUUUUUGUCGACCGUUGAGUGGAGCCUCGAAGAAUUCUCCACGCCACUCAUUUUUGACAGGAAUCUCCAGCGAUUCUCGAAAGAUUCCCACAAUUUUGAACUCAUUUCGAUUCCAAUCUACCUUACAAAGAAGAGUGUUAACAAAGUUCUUCUUCUUCAGCAUGUUCUUAUCCUCAAACAUACAUGUAUGAUUCUUCCUACUAGGCACUUGUGCAUGCAGUGACUGAGUACAAGUGUAUGGUUCUUGAUCAUCACUACGAAGUUACUCAAUGGCAAAAAAGCUCAACCUAGACAAGAAGAAUAAAGAGGAAGGAGGAGGAGGAGGAGGAGGAUUAUCUCCAAAGGAAUGUUUCUACAACACAAUGAGCACACCAAACACACCCAACAAACUGCCGUUUGCUCAUGUGGGCAGCAAAAAAUAAAACACGACACCAAGCGAGAUCAAAUCGCUUGGAAAUAGUUUGUUCCAGAGCUGUCACUCAAACCACCAGAUUCUUUGGACUCAAUACUCGACGACGACGACACUGACUUACUGACUUGGUUCGGUUCGUUUUUCGGCCACGGGAUCCUGAGAUGGUCAUCAGCUCUUUGAGAACGAAUGGCCCAACCCUGUUGGCUAGAAUUGGCCAUAAAGAUGCAAAUAUCCGGCCCAUGUGACAGAAUUAAAGAGCAACCCGGAGACUGAGUUGGUUCUCUUCAAGCCAUUCAGAAAAAGAACCAAUCUCUUUGGCAAUCCAAUGCUUUCACGCACAGAUGAAUUCGACUUAUCGUAACCCCAAGACCAUUUUAGAUGAAUGUCUUUAUCUUGCGUAUCUUGCGUUUAUGUUAACAGCUUUGUGUUUUAACCAUGCGGCUUACCUGUGACCGCUCUGAAUUUAUCGAGUCUUUUGCAUUACUCUUGUAGCAAUCCACAUUUUUGGCUCAGUUUUCACUGAGGGUGUCUUGUUUGCCUUUUUCUUUUUUUUUGUAUUUAAAACCUUCUCUCAUUCUUAGAGUCUUAAUGUCCCCGGCGAAGAAAAGGGCGUUAGUAUUUGUUGUUUUGAAAUUGCAUUUUGUCAUGAUACGUAAGUAAAAAUAGACAUGGAAAAGGGCAA